AUUCCAGCUCCAAUAGCGUAUAUUAAAGUUGUUGCAGUUAAAAAGCUCGUAGUUGGAUUUCUGACAGGGGGCCGAACACCACUGUAGUGAGUGUUUUGGUACCUGUCAUCCUUCUGUUAACCCUAGCGUCAUUCAUUUGUCGUUGGGCGGACCAGAUACUUUACCUUGAGAAAAUUAGAGUGUUCAAGGCAGGCAAUCGUCAUGAAUACUAUAGCAUGGAAUAAUGGAAUAGGACUUUGGUUCAUUUUAUUGGUUAUUGAACCUUAGUAAUGAUUAACAGGGACAGUUGGGGGCAUUAGUAUUUAAUUGUCAGAGGUGAAAUUCUUGGAUUUAUUAAAGACUAACUUAUGCGAAAGCAUUUGCCAGGGAUGUUUUCAUUA
This 380-nucleotide ribosomal RNA is filed under the name Ciliophora sp. RNAcentral describes it as "partial small subunit ribosomal RNA". It matches the Rfam family "Eukaryotic small subunit ribosomal RNA", at positions 582 to 975 of the family's 1831-position model. The record is from RNAcentral. Lineage: Eukaryota; Ciliophora.